This 916-nucleotide ribosomal RNA is filed under the name uncultured Acidobacterium sp. RNAcentral describes it as "bacterial SSU rRNA". It matches the Rfam family "Bacterial small subunit ribosomal RNA", at positions 583 to 1501 of the family's 1533-position model. Lineage: Bacteria; Pseudomonadati; Acidobacteriota; Terriglobia; Terriglobales; Acidobacteriaceae. The record is from RNAcentral.
GUAAGUCACCUGUGAAACCUCUAGGCUCAACCUAGAGCCUGCAGGCGAAACUGCCGUGCUUGAGGGUGGGAGAGGUGCGUGGAAUUGCCAGUGUAGGGGUAAAACCUUUAGAUAUUGGCAGGAACACCUGUGGCUGAAGCGGCCACUGGACCAUUUCUUGACGCUGAGGCGCGAAAGCGUGGGGAGCGAACGGGAUUAGAUACCCCGGUAGUCCUGGCCCUAAACGAUGUUCACUAGGUGUGGGGAGCGGAAAGCUUUCCGUGCUAAAGCUAACGCAAUAAGUGAACCGCCUGGGGAGUACGCCCGCAAGGGUGAAACUCAAAGGAAUUGACGGGGGCCCGCACAAGCGGUGGAGCGUGUGGUUUAAUUCGAUGCUAAGCGAAGGACCUUACCAAGGUUUGAAGCACAGUGGGACCGGGGUAACGACCACACUUUGUGUGGAGUCAGCACAGGUGGUGCACGGCCGUCGUCAGCUCGUGCCGUGAGGUGUUGGGUUAAGUCCCGCAACGAGCGCAACCCCUGCUCUUAGUUGCCAGCGGUAAGGCCGGGCACUCUAGGAGGACCGCCGCCGACGAGGCGGAGGAAGGUGGGGAUGACGUCAAGUCCUCAUGGCCUUUAUGUCCAGGGCUACACACGUGCUACAAUGGUCGGUACAGAAGGGACCGAGACAGCGAUGUGGAGGAAAUCCUCAAAAGCCCGCCUCAGUUCAGAUUGCAGGCUGCAACCCGCCUGCAUGAAGCCGGAAUCGCUAGUAAUCGCAGAUCAGCCAAGCUGCGGUGGAUACGUUCCCGGGCCUUGUACACACCGCCCGUCAAGCCACCCGAGUUGGUAACACCUGAAGAUGAGAUCCUAACCGAAGGAGGGAGCUUGUUUAGGGUGGGAUUGGCAAGGGGGGCUAAGUCGUAACAAGGUAACC